This is a transfer RNA of 77 nucleotides. It matches the Rfam family "tRNA". Rfam says of the family: Transfer RNA (tRNA) molecules are approximately 80 nucleotides in length. Their secondary structure includes four short double-helical elements and three loops (D, anti-codon, and T loops).
GCCUCCAUAGCUCAGCUGGAUAGAGCAGCAGCCUUCUAAUCUGCCGGUCGCGCGUUCGAGUCGCGCUGGGGGCACCU